RNAcentral lists this ribosomal RNA (819 nucleotides) under Arthrobacter citreus. Its description in RNAcentral is "bacterial SSU rRNA". It matches the Rfam family "Bacterial small subunit ribosomal RNA", at positions 69 to 897 of the family's 1533-position model. The record is from RNAcentral. Lineage: Bacteria; Bacillati; Actinomycetota; Actinomycetes; Micrococcales; Micrococcaceae.
GACUUUUGUGCUUGCACAAAAUGAUUAGUGGCGAACGGGUGAGUAACACGUGAGUAACCUGCCCUUAACUUCGGGAUAAGCCUGGGAAACCGGGUCUAAUACCGGAUACGACGGACCACCGCAUGGCGGUCCGUGGAAAGCUUGAUGCGGUUUUGGAUGGACUCGCGGCCUAUCAGCUAGUUGGUUGGGGUAAUGGCCCACCAAGGCGACGACGGGUAGCCGGCCUGAGAGGGUGACCGGCCACACUGGGACUGAGACACGGCCCAGACUCCUACGGGAGGCAGCAGUGGGGAAUAUUGCACAAUGGGCGAAAGCCUGAUGCAGCGACGCCGCGUGAGGGACGAAGGCCUUCGGGUUGUAAACCUCUUUCAGCAGGGAAGAAGCGAAAGUGACGGUACCUGCAGAAGAAGCGCCGGCUAACUACGUGCCAGCAGCCGCGGUAAUACGUAGGGCGCAAGCGUUAUCCGGAAUUAUUGGGCGUAAAGAGCUCGUAGGCGGUUUGUCGCGUCUGCUGUGAAAGCCCGGGGCUCAACCCCGGGUCUGCAGUGGGUACGGGCAGACUAGAGUGCAGUAGGGGAGACUGGAAUUCCUGGUGUAGCGGUGAAAUGCGCAGAUAUCAGGAGGAACACCGAUGGCGAAGGCAGGUCUCUGGGCUGUAACUGACGCUGAGGAGCGAAAGCAUGGGGAGCGAACAGGAUUAGAUACCCUGGUAGUCCAUGCCGUAAACGUUGGGCACUAGGUGUGGGGGACAUUCCACGUUUUCCGCGCCGUAGCUAACGCAUUAAGUGCCCCGCCUGGGGAGUACGGCCGCAAGGCUAA